Molecule: ribosomal RNA, 92 nt
Filed under: Tuber asa
Lineage: Eukaryota; Fungi; Ascomycota; Pezizomycetes; Pezizales; Tuberaceae
Description: partial 5.8S ribosomal RNA
Rfam family: 5.8S ribosomal RNA
About the family: 5.8S ribosomal RNA (5.8S rRNA) is a component of the large subunit of the eukaryotic ribosome.
Source: RNAcentral
UGUGAAUGGCAGAAUUCAGUGAAUCAUCGAAUCUUUGAACGCACAUGGCGCCCUUUGGCAUUCCUUAGGGCAUGCCUGUUACGAGCGUCACU